Molecule: long non-coding RNA, 579 nt
Filed under: Acyrthosiphon pisum (pea aphid)
Lineage: Eukaryota; Metazoa; Arthropoda; Insecta; Hemiptera; Aphididae
Description: uncharacterized LOC107883426, transcript variant X2
Source: RNAcentral
UCAGCUAGUAUUAUAUAUGUGUGUAACAUACAAUACUGUUAACAGCCUACCGUCAACUACCUACCUUAUUAUUAUUAUAAUCAUGACAAAAUAAACAUUGCACAAUGCACAUGUAUGGUAAUUUUUAAAUUUUGUAUUUAACUAUAUUUGACGACUGAUGUAGGCCUAUAUAAAGAAGUAUAAUAAUAUUACAGCAUGGACACCGCGAUACCAUCAUCACACUUCACGUUGAUAGACACCACGCAUAGUUCAAAACAAAGAAAAAGGUAAAACGAGUUCUACCAGACUGGCUCACCAAACCUACAACAGUUGUAUCGAUCGAUUCAAAACACCUAUAGAAGCGCUCACUUACGGCAUUCCAGACACCCCGCUUUAAUUCAGAAACUGGAAAAUGAAGGAUUUCAAAAUCAACUAUAGUACCAUGGAUAAUUAAGACACAAACACAUUUGGACUACAGAUGGCUCAGUGACGUAUGUAUUUCAGCAGCGACUGGCAGUUAAAAAAUUUUCUCUCAUGUUCUUCUUAAAAUUCAGGUUGGGCGUGCUCAUUCAAUGCAUUAAAACCAAAAUUUAUUCAGAA